Molecule: long non-coding RNA, 1575 nt
Organism: Equus caballus (horse)
Lineage: Eukaryota; Metazoa; Chordata; Mammalia; Perissodactyla; Equidae
Source: Ensembl
CAGAGUGUCGGAGCCGGAAGGGCCGCUGGAGACAUGUGGUCGCGUUUCUUCACUUUACAGAGAAAGACGAGACCAGGAGCGGUUUGAGUAUUGGCCCAAGGUCACGUGUCAAUUAGCAGGAAGGUCUGCACGACCACCGAAGCCCCUAAUUCUUAUUUCUGUGCUCCUGUGGCUUUCUGUGGUCUCUGGCUGCUGCACCCCUGGGAGGGACGCGAGCCGCAUUUUACAAAAGGAGAAAUGAAUUCGUGAGCACAAUAAAAAUAAACACAUAAAGUGAUUCCCAAGUUUGACAUUACCGGUAACUUCAAAGUACAGAAUGUGUCCACUGAUACCAAGAAAACUAAGGAAUACGGAUGCACGCUGUGAACACAGCAACCCAAACACACGACUCUAAGUGGGCCCCGAUUAAAGAGCUUAACCACCUAUGACAGCUCCACCAAUUGGUAAUAUUAGAUUAACUAAGCAAGGAGGCCAUCAGAUGAGGAGGCUGUAAUGCCGUGGUGACGGUCGUGAGCAAGUCAAAAUCCAAGCCCGUAAAUGCCUCCAGGUCGUGAAACUGAAACCCAAGGAUGACCCGUCACAACAGCCAACUAGACUUUAAGGAACAGCCAGUCAAUGGUUUCCUGGCUUCGCUCUGCCUCUUCCCUGCAGAGGUCUCUCCCCAGCUCCUGUCAGUGGAUUGCUCCUUCCUAACCACUUCCGGUUUGGCGCUGCCCAAUGCAAAUUGAUUUUGGCUCAAACUCUUAAAAUUUUUAAUAUCCCUCAGUUUAUCUUUCAAUAGCCAUUUACUAUAUUCAUGGAAAUUCAACCAGCACUGACACCACCAUCUGCUAUCCAGCAACAUGUUACAAUGGGAAUAUAAUCGCGGGAAAAAAAAUACUUUUCUGCCAUCCAGGAGCCUGUGCUUCUAAUAGAGACAACAAGAUGGAGAUGGAGAGCAGGGAAGACUUCAUUGAUGGUGGGCCUUAGGAGUUGAACAGAAGGAGAAAAGGACACAACCACCUCUGUAAAACCGCAGGCUUUGAACUCAUUUUUCCAAUGUCAGGCAUAUUUUUCCCUCUAAACAAUUUAAGAAAAUCUCCAAAAAUAUUAUUUUUUUCUUUAAAAACGCUUCCUCUCAAUCUUCAAUCUUUCACUAGGAGUGUCCGUCCGUCACUCGGGAAGCCUCAGGCGGAGGUGAGAGGGUGUCGGAAGGGCAACACGAGUUAGGGAAUGAUUUCAAUUGCCAAACUCAGUUCUGUCCUCUGCAGUGCAAUUUUCUGUUGUAAUUCAUCAGUUAGGCAAAGAUUGGCUCAGCUCCUGGAAAAACAAUCCCAUCUCUAUAAGAGACGCUGCCAAGAGGUGAACAUCUUAAAGAGAAAAAUCAUAAAGCAUUAAGGAUGGAGACAGUAUCUGAGGGAAGGUGACUCCUCUUUUCUCGGGAUUAUACUUCACAGAGAAUCAUUACUGUUCCCCCUGCCAAAGGCUUAAAAACUCAUCUCUGCUUUCACUUUUACAGCAAUUAUUAAUCUACUACCACUCAAGUUUCCAUCCUUCCUAAACCACCAAGAGUUUAACCUGCAUAUCCCCUAAAUC